CAAGGUUCCACCUUUAGUUACUAGCUGUGUAAACUUGGGCAAGUCAUUUAAUCUCUCAGCUUCAGUUUCCUCAUCUGUAAAAGGAGACAUGGAGAACAGCUGAUCAAUAUCUCCUCAUAAUAAUCCCCUGAACACCUGAAGACAGCUGUGAGAGCUUAAAGAUUUGCUGAGGCUAAUCUGAACACAGGUCAUUCUUGGCUUUUGUGUGGCAAAAGGAUUGGAAAGGAGCUAAAGAUGGAAAAGAAGGAGGC
Orcinus orca (killer whale) is the source of this 251-nucleotide long non-coding RNA. RefSeq lists it as uncharacterized. The record is from RefSeq and is a predicted model, not a curated record. The transcript is spliced from 3 exons. Lineage: Eukaryota; Metazoa; Chordata; Mammalia; Artiodactyla; Delphinidae.